GGCAUUUUUUGCCGGCAAGCCGCUGGCGUGCCGAUGGGGGGCCCCCUAGCCGCGCCCGUGGCGGGGGUCCUCUUGCGGGAGAUCGGGAGUGCCGUUUUGCCGAGGUUCGGGCCACAGUUGGAGGCAUGCAUUUGGUGCGUCGAUGACGUGUUGGCGGUUUGGGAGAGCGGGGAUGGGUUGCAGGAGUUCCGGGGGGCCUUAACGCUGGGGCAGUGUGGUGUGUCCCUGAGACAGGAGCGGCGGGGCGCGACACGCAUGCACUGCCUUGACAUGGCUGUCAUGCUGGACGGGGAGCGGUUGACCACCACAGUGUGCCGA
RNAcentral lists this long non-coding RNA (318 nucleotides) under Androctonus crassicauda. The record is from RNAcentral. Lineage: Eukaryota; Metazoa; Arthropoda; Arachnida; Scorpiones; Buthidae.